Molecule: long non-coding RNA, 639 nt
Filed under: Calidris pygmaea (Spoon-billed sandpiper)
Lineage: Eukaryota; Metazoa; Chordata; Aves; Charadriiformes; Scolopacidae
Description: lncRNA (ENSCPGG00000012136.1)
Source: RNAcentral
ACUUCCCCAUUCCCAGUCUUUAGGAUAAAUUCCCAAUAUGCUACUGUCAUGUAGAUAGUAAAGGUGUAAGCUAUGAAGGUCGCAGGGGUAAAGAAAGAAGCCCUUACAGCCUUCUUGGAGAUAAGGCAACAUAGUUAUUCAGUGAGUGGACCCCUCGGGUGACCUUUCCAGCGUGCUCAGUAAAAGGCGGGGAAAAAUGUAAUGCUGGUGUAACGUAGUAUCCUUAUCUGAGAGCUGUAUUUUAAAUUGAAGUUCUUUUUAUAUCUCCAGAGUACCAGUUUCUGAGAGGACGAGCAAAAAGACUUAACGACAAAAACUGAUGGACCAUUACAUCUUCCAAAAUGAGCCUAUUCACGCUUUUCUACUGGAAACUAACAUGUCUUGAAGAGAGAAGAAUUCAGUGCUGGACUCUCCUGAACAUUCCUCGUGGUGCAGCUCCAGAGAACAGCUGGGUUUAUCUGACUUGAAGAGGAGGCAGAUGUGCAGGAAGCCACGAGGACAUGGGCUUUCAGUGCAUCUGGAAGAAUGAUCAGGUAUCGGCGGCUGUUGGCGUUUAAACUGUUGUAACGAGUGAGAAACUUGAGAAGAUGUGAAACAGUAAAGCGCUCGCUCCUGCCCUUGUCCUUAAAUUUUAGGUGU